This 254-nucleotide ribosomal RNA is filed under the name uncultured bacterium. RNAcentral describes it as "partial 16S ribosomal RNA". It matches the Rfam family "Bacterial small subunit ribosomal RNA", at positions 524 to 776 of the family's 1533-position model. The record is from RNAcentral.
UACGGAGGGUGCGAGCGUUGUCCGGAAUCAUUGGGCGUAAAGGGCGCGUAGGUGGCGGGACAAGCGUGCGGUGAAAGCUCGGGGCUCAACCCCGAGUCGGCCGUGCGAACUGUUUUUGCUUGAGCACUGUAGAGGCAGGCGGAAUUCCGGGUGUAGCGGUGGAAUGCGUAGAGAUCCGGAAGAACACCCGUGGCGAAGGCGGCCCACUGGGCCGGUGCUGACGCUGAGGCGCGAAGGCGUGGGGAGCGAACGGG